GUUUUCUCAAACCUUGGAGUUGUUAAAGAAGGAUUUCUCAACUACACAAAGCCAAUUGGAAACUUAUGCUUGGUUGGAGAGAAGGAUUAUCAACGUGCAAGUUGAUCAAGCAGAAAGCUCAGGGUUUUAAAUUAAAAGGGAAAUAUUUCAAAACUAUGUUUUAUGACAUUGCAUUUGGUUCUAUAUUUUGAAACUCAAACCGAACUUGUGUCCAAGUAUGUGUGUUACAAUCGAAAGUACACCUUGUGGAUAAUAUUCCUUUUCUUUUAAUGUAAAGGAUACGUUACAUCUUUUAAAUCUCCCUAAUUAAUUUAUGUGAACAUUGCUAAGUCAUUUAUGUAUGUGAAA
Long non-coding RNA from Solanum lycopersicum (tomato), 348 nucleotides. RefSeq lists it as uncharacterized. Lineage: Eukaryota; Viridiplantae; Streptophyta; Magnoliopsida; Solanales; Solanaceae. The record is from RefSeq and is a predicted model, not a curated record.